Molecule: ribosomal RNA, 305 nt
Filed under: uncultured bacterium
Lineage: Bacteria
Description: partial 16S ribosomal RNA
Rfam family: Bacterial small subunit ribosomal RNA
Source: RNAcentral
ACAGCAGUAGCCACGGGAAUACGAGGGGGGCAAGCGUUGUUCGGAAUUAUUGGGCGUAAAGGGUGCGUAGGCGGUCUGAUAAGUUCUAUGUGAAAUCUAUGGGCUCAACCCAUAGUCUGCAUGGAAAACUGUCAGGCUUGAGAAUGGGAGAGGUGAGUGGAAUUUCCGGUGUAGCGGUGAAAUGCGUAGAUAUCGGAAGGAACACCCGUGGCGAAAGCGGCUCACUGGACCAUUACUGACGCUGAUGCACGAAAGCUAGGGGAGCAAACAGGAUUAGAUACCCGCGUAGUCCCUGUCUCUUAUAA